Molecule: long non-coding RNA, 590 nt
Filed under: Phoenix dactylifera (date palm)
Lineage: Eukaryota; Viridiplantae; Streptophyta; Magnoliopsida; Arecales; Arecaceae
Description: long non-coding RNA (PDAC_LNC021102)
Source: RNAcentral
AAAUAAAAUAAAAUAAAAAUGCUGUGGGCCGCAAUGGGCUUAAUUCCGGGAUGGGCUUCAAAUAGAUUUGGAUUUAGAAGCCUGAAGCCGGGCUGGGUUCUGGUCCGAGCCCAAUAAUUUUUAACCCAGAAUUAACUGAACCAGUAUACAAUUGACCCAAGUCUGAACCAUUAAUUGGGUCAGAUCUGAACCAGUAUGCAAUUGACUUAGACUUGAACCAGUAAUUGGGUCAGAUCUGAGCCAGAAUGCAAAUGGGCCCAGACCUGAACCAGAGGGCAAUUUGGUCUAAACCAGAAGUGGAAUUGGCUCAGACCUGAACCAAAAGCUGAAUCAGACCUGAGCCAGAAAUUAAAUCAAACCCGAACUAGGAAGUAAAUUAGACCGGAACCAGAAAUUGAAUUGGGCCAUGGGCCUGAACCAUAAAUUAAAUUGGGCUAUGGACCCGAAAAUGAAAUUGAGUCCUAUGGAUGGGUUGUAAAUGACUUUAAGAUUAUAAAUAAAUAGAAAUUAAAUAUGUAAGUGACAUGUAAUUUAAUGAUCUUGCUAGGUAUUGGAGAAUUGGCAUUUGAUGGGCAAAUUAAGGUAAGUAA